GUGGCUUUUGCCUGAGGUCCUUAGACCGACACGGCGGUUUAGAUUGGGUACUUUUGGACUUCUCGUCCGGUUGACGCAUAUAGCUAUAGUAGCGGUUGUUGCAUAUAUACUUCUAGUUCUUUCUUUACAGUUGUCUUGCUACUAUAGUUUUGAUAUCCUUGUAUGCUUGCAGUUGUACAUUACAGUAGCGGUAGUUGUGUUUUCAUAUAUAUAUAUCUCGUUCGUUCAUUAUCGUUGCUACUGUAUUUUACUUACCCAUACUGUUGGUUAUCUCUUCCUGAUCCGGUGAGUACUCCUCGCCUUCUUCGGCUUGCGGUACCCACUGGGAGGGGAGACAUGUUUACAUGUUCUCACCUCCCCCACCAUUUUUCAGGUAUCGCGGGCGAUGAGUAGUGGGACGAGACGUGAGGUACGUGUGUAGCGGUCGAUAGAGCUUCCGACCCAGGUUAUUUCGAUUUAGUUAUUAUCCUCGGUAUUUCUGUUGAUAUAUAGUUUAGUUGGUUUAUGUGGUUCAGUAAUCAUUUACAUUUGAAAAGGUGGAUUUCUGGAUUUUGUAAAAUAAAAGAUUUUCUACCCCUCGUGGUAGCGUUUUUAAAAGAAUAAAGGUUUCUGUGUAGGAAACAGCUUUCAAAAGGUUUUUGUGGAUUUCUGUUUAAACCUCGAAUGUAAAACUGUGAUGUGAAUGGGGAAUGUAUGAAUGUAUAGCUAUCUGUAUAUUCAUUUGAUUGUGGUUGUAUACUGUUUGUACUUUUGUACUUGUGUGACGCCGUGCAAGUACAGGGGAGACUCUGUCCGUGUGAAUAGUGGAUUCCCUGUAUUUGUGGCGGAUCUGGCAUACUCUGGGGUCAGGUUUUCAAAAAAAAAAAAAUUUCAAACGCUUUUCCGCUGUAUUUCAAACAAAAAGGGAACCCCGGGGCGUGACAUUAGUUGUCAACUAUGAUUGGAGAAAUAAUUUGGGAAAAACUCACUCGUGCCACGCCUGCAGAGGAUUGUCGUUGAUGAUGAUGAUGACACUGAUGAUGAUAAUGAUAAUGAAAUAUUGUUGGUGGAAAUGAAUUGAAAAAAAAAGGAGUACAAAAUAAAGAGUAAAAAAAUUAGAAAAAAGUAAUGAGUAAAAGAGACGGCUAGGGUUUCAUUAGGAUGAAAAUACAUAGUGACUCAUCAUCUAUAAGUCAUAUUAAAAUUGAUCCUUCAACUUCAAAAGUUUAUUUUUUUUAUAUACUAUCGGAUAUUUCAUCGGGUCCGGAUCCGGAUCCAGAUUUGAAAACUAUUCCGGACCCUACCCAUUUAAAAGUUAGGUUCGGGUCGGGUCCAAAUCGGGUAUGGAUAUAAAAUAUCCGGACCCAUACCCGAAACUUUAAUGGAUAAUUUUUUUUAUUCGUAUACUAUUCAUUUUUUAUUGGGUCCGGUUCGGGUCCGGGUAAGGUCCGGAUCGGGUAUGGGAUAUCCGAUA
Molecule: long non-coding RNA, 1453 nt
Filed under: Ananas comosus (pineapple)
Lineage: Eukaryota; Viridiplantae; Streptophyta; Magnoliopsida; Poales; Bromeliaceae
Description: long non-coding RNA (ACOM_LNC034539)
Source: RNAcentral